RNAcentral lists this ribosomal RNA (193 nucleotides) under uncultured Staphylococcus sp. RNAcentral's name for it is "partial 16S ribosomal RNA". It matches the Rfam family "Bacterial small subunit ribosomal RNA", at positions 337 to 522 of the family's 1533-position model. The record is from RNAcentral. Lineage: Bacteria; Bacillati; Bacillota; Bacilli; Caryophanales; Staphylococcaceae.
GCCUACGGGAGGCAGCAGUAGGGAAUCUUCCGCAAUGGGCGAAAGCCUGACGGAGCAACGCCGCGUGAGUGAUGAAGGUCUUCGGAUCGUAAAACUCUGUUAUUAGGGAAGAACAAACGUGUAAGUAACUAUGCACGUCUUGACGGUACCUAAUCAGAAAGCCACGGCUAACUACGUGCCAGCAGCCGCGGUC